GGGCGCGUGACCUGAGUGGCCGAUAGGACCGGACUCUUAAUCCGGCGGCGAAAGCCCACCGCAGGUUCGAAUCCUGCCGCGCCCU
RNAcentral lists this transfer RNA (85 nucleotides) under Thalassospira xiamenensis. Its description in RNAcentral is "tRNA_Lys_CTT". It matches the Rfam family "tRNA". Rfam says of the family: Transfer RNA (tRNA) molecules are approximately 80 nucleotides in length. The record is from RNAcentral. Lineage: Bacteria; Pseudomonadati; Pseudomonadota; Alphaproteobacteria; Rhodospirillales; Thalassospiraceae.